UGUCUGACUUCACUUCUAUGAUAGCUGAGC
This 30-nucleotide non-coding RNA is filed under the name Rattus norvegicus (Norway rat). The record is from RNAcentral. Lineage: Eukaryota; Metazoa; Chordata; Mammalia; Rodentia; Muridae.